GUGUACUUUGCAAUGUGUUUACUUCCCACACAAAUUGUAAACAUGUUUGACUGUAAAGACUACAUAUCAACUGCUUCACUCAUGCUAUACUUCAUUAUUUUCACUCAUUUGUUACUUUCACUAAUUGAACAUUAUUCUGGGCUUUCACAACAUAGAAUAUAAUUUGACAUGGUAGAGCUA
Long non-coding RNA from Hippocampus comes (tiger tail seahorse), 180 nucleotides. RefSeq lists it as uncharacterized. The record is from RefSeq and is a predicted model, not a curated record. The transcript has 3 exons. Lineage: Eukaryota; Metazoa; Chordata; Actinopteri; Syngnathiformes; Syngnathidae.